GAUGAACGCUGGCGGCGUGCCUAACACAUGCAAGUCGAACGAAGCACUUACCCGGAUCCUUCGGGAGAAGGGUUUGUGACUGAGUGGCGGACGGGUGAGUAACGCGUGGGUAACCUGCCCUGUACAGGGGGAUAACAGUUAGAAAUGACUGCUAAUACCGCAUAAGCGCACGAAGCAGCAUUGUUUUGUGUGAAAAACUCCGGUGGUACAGGAUGGGCCCGCGUCUGAUUAGCUUGUUGGCGGGGUAAAGGCCCACCAAGGCGACGAUCAGUAGCCGGUCUGAGAGGAUGAACGGCCACAUUGGAACUGAGACACGGUCCAA
This 322-nucleotide ribosomal RNA is filed under the name uncultured bacterium. RNAcentral describes it as "bacterial SSU rRNA". It matches the Rfam family "Bacterial small subunit ribosomal RNA", at positions 28 to 334 of the family's 1533-position model. The record is from RNAcentral.